Molecule: ribosomal RNA, 892 nt
Filed under: uncultured bacterium
Lineage: Bacteria
Description: bacterial SSU rRNA
Rfam family: Bacterial small subunit ribosomal RNA
Source: RNAcentral
GUGCCAGCAGCCGCGGUAAUACGUAGGUGGCAAGCGUUGUCCGGAUUUAUUGGGCGUAAAGUGAGCGCAGGCGGUUUCUUAAGUCUGAUGUGAAAGCCUUCGGCUCAACCGAAGAAGUGCAUCGGAAACUGGGAAACUUGAGUGCAGAAGAGGACAGUGGAACUCCAUGUGUAGCGGUGAAAUGCGUAGAUAUAUGGAAGAACACCAGUGGCGAAGGCGGCUGUCUGGUCUGUAACUGACGCUGAGGCUCGAAAGCAUGGGUAACAAACAGGAUUAGAUACCCUGGUAGUCCAUGCCGUAAACGAUGAGUGCUAGGUGUUGGAGGGUUUCCGCCCUUCAGUGCCGCAGCUAACGCAUUAAGCACUCCGCCUGGGGAGUACGACCGCAAGGUUGAAACUCAAAGGAAUUGACGGGGGCCCGCACAAGCGGUGGAGCAUGUGGUUUAAUUCGAAGCAACGCGAAGAACCUUACCAGGUCUUGACAUCCUUUGACCACUCUAGAGAUAGAGCUUUCCCUUCGGGGACAAAGUGACAGGUGGUGCAUGGUUGUCGUCAGCUCGUGUCGUGAGAUGUUGGGUUAAGUCCCGCAACGAGCGCAACCCUUAUUACUAGUUGCCAGCAUUAAGUUGGGCACUCUAGUGAGACUGCCGGUGACAAACCGGAGGAAGGUGGGGACGACGUCAAAUCAUCAUGCCCCUUAUGACCUGGGCUACACACGUGCUACAAUGGAUGGUACAACGAGUUGCGAGACCGCGAGGUUUACCUAAUCUCCUAAAACCAUUCUCAGUUCGGAUUGUAGGCUGCAACUCGCCUACAUGAAGCCGGAAUCGCUAGUAAUCGCGGAUCAGCAUGCCGCGGUGAAUACGUUCCCGGGCCUUGUACACACCGCCCGU